AUGAGCAGAGCGGCCAAGGAGCUUCGCAUUUGGAGCAAGGAUCUGAUCGGUGACACGAAGCUUCAGUUCCACAUUGCAUGUGAAGUCAUUCUGCGCCUCGAUCUUGCCCAGGAGAGACAGCGGCUCUCGACGGCAGAAGCUGAGCUCAGAAAAGGCCUAAAGAUCAAGUUACUAGGCCUUGCGGCGAUCGAGCGCUGCAGGAAAAGGCAAGCCUCCCGCCUCACCUGGCUGCGUGCGGGAGACGCCCCCACCAAAUUCUUCAUGGCCAAGAUCAGCUCAAGAAGGCGCAAGAACUUCAUCAGCGCUCUAAAAGUGGGAGACAACGUUGUGACUGUGCACGCUGAGAAGGAAAAGGCAAUACAUGAUCAUUUCAACUGCAUCCUGGGAUCCACCCAGCACCGAACCAAGUCGAUCAACUGGGAUGAGCUGCGUAUGCCUUCUGUGCAAGCAAAUGGCCUGGACAACCCG
Molecule: ribosomal RNA, 468 nt
Filed under: Triticum aestivum (bread wheat)
Lineage: Eukaryota; Viridiplantae; Streptophyta; Magnoliopsida; Poales; Poaceae
Description: partial small subunit ribosomal RNA
Source: RNAcentral